GAUGAACGCUGGCGGCGUGCCUAAUACAUGCAAGUCGAGCGAACAGAUGAGGAGCUUGCUCCUCUGACGUUAGCGGCGGACGGGUGAGUAACACGUGGAUAACCUACCUAUAAGACUGGGAUAACUUCGGGAAACCGGAGCUAAUACCGGAUAAUAUAUUGAACCGCAUGGUUCAAUAGUGAAAGACGGUUUUGCUGUCACUUAUAGAUGGAUCCGCGCCGCAUUAGCUAGUUGGUAAGGUAACGGCUUACCAAGGCGACGAUGCAUAGCCGACCUGAGAGGGGGAUCGGCCACACUGGAACUGAGACACGGUCCAGACUCCUACGGGAGGCAGCAGUAGGGAAUCUUCCGCAAUGGGCGAAAGCCUGACGGAGCAACGCCGCGUGAGUGAUGAAGGUCUUCGGAUCGUAAAACUCUUUUAUUAGGGAAGAAAAAAAGUGUAAGUAACUGUGCACAUCUUGACGGUACCUAAUCAGAAAGCCACGGCUAACUACGUG
RNAcentral lists this ribosomal RNA (497 nucleotides) under uncultured bacterium. RNAcentral's name for it is "partial 16S ribosomal RNA". It matches the Rfam family "Bacterial small subunit ribosomal RNA", at positions 28 to 507 of the family's 1533-position model. The record is from RNAcentral.